AAACAAGCAAACAUAUUCAUCUCUAAAUGUACCCAGCCUAAUUUACAUAUAACACUCUCAAUCAAUUAUAGCCUCACGAUCCGAAUCAUUUGAUUAUAUCUAGCCGUCCAUAUACACUAAUCGUCAGCCAAAAGUGCGUUUAGCGAUUUGAGAGAGCGGACGAAAACUCUGCCGUCUCGGUACGAUCCGCAGCCGCGGCCCCAACAAUCACACAUGAAAAAAGGAAGCAGAUCCAAUCGAAUCCCCUCACCCUCAACGAAGCGCUGCACCUCCGGCUUGUGGCGUCAGCCUUCUCUCCCUCCUCACCAGAUUUUGUCUUCGCCAUCGAGAGGUGUUAAGGGAGGCGCACGCGACGCGACGACGGCGGGGAGAAGCGGCGCAUUGGCGGACAGCCGGACAUCAGCGCAUAUGCAGCACAUAGCAGCGGCGGCUGUAAGGCCAUGGCGGACGAGCAGGUGGUGCGGCUGAGGGCGGGAGAAGAGAGGCUGGGCGGCGCCGGAGGCGGAGCUCGGCCGCAAGCGUGGCACGCACAGGGCAGUGCCGCGCGAGCGCCCUGCAGUCGCAUCACCGAGCGGCAACCCCGCCGCCACACUACUGCACGAGGGCAGCGCCACCGCAUCGCCGAGCCACAGCCCGGCCGUUCCCGGCCGGAGGUCGCCGACGCCUUUCCCAACUUUUGGGUUGGCACCCUGAUCGGACGCCUCCCUUUUGGUUAACAUGUUUCUAUGAAAUUGAACAUUUCAGUAACAUUCUGCUGUGUGUUCACAACUUCACAUUAAUUCAGAAAUUGUAUGUAUGAAUCGACUGCAUCCGAUGAUGUGCUUCUCCUGUUCCCUUGAAAGGAUUGCUGGAUGGAAAGAUGUUUUUGCUUUCAGGAUUUCUGGUGUGUGUACGACCCUCUAAGUAACUCUUUUUCAUCUCAUGCAGCAGCAGAGGCUUAGAGGAAGGCGCUGCAGCGUGGAUGCACAUGGGAUGCUGCAGGUUAAAAUCAUUUUAGUUUGUUGAUAAUUUGUCAGACGUAGAUUGUAAGUUAUAUAGCAGAAAUAGAUUUUAAUUUGUGUAUGGUGUGGAUUCCAAAACUAAUCUGCUUGUACCGAAUUAAUAUCUUGUACAUAAAUUUGCAUGACGAAUCUUUUUGCAAGAUACAUGUGCCAAAGAGGAGGAGAGUAUGAAAAGAUAAAGGAGUCAGGAAGGACCGAAGGAGAAAUCAUAUGAACAUGAACCUGAUGAUGACCCAUAGUUGGAUGUAUGUGAGAGGUACAGGUGUUAGCUCAUAAGCAUAUCAGAAUACAACAUGACGUGUAUAAUUAUUCAGUUAUUGUUUUUAUCCAUGCCUCAACAGCCAGACCAAAUUAAACGACAAACUGCAAUUAUAUGAAGACCCAUUACAUACACGGCCAACCCACCUGUCAUCGCGAGACAAGUUAAAAGUGAAGCAACUAAAUGUUUGGGUCGAAUGUUGUUACUAUUGGUUUCUUCAAGGGUAGUAACUUUUACCCAACAUAUGUCACUUUUUUAGGUUAAUUGACUAGCCCCUCUUUUUAUAAUGGUCCAGUCAAUUAAGAGAAAAGGGGAAAGAAAAAUGUAUGAUGACACAAGGGCUAUCAAUUACAGAGUGAAUUACAUAGCCUGCAACAUUUGCAUCCCUGGCCCUUUUUAUGACCCUACAAGGGCUAUCUCUAUGAGCUGAACAAUUACAGCAGAGGACACACUCAAAUUCAGAGUUUAGAGCCUGAUGAGCAAUGUUGUGAGAACUUGUUGAUGAUCUGCAUAUUUUCCGUGAAAUUUGGACGUGUUGGAUGGUCCAUGUGAGGUUCUCCAAGAAUUGUUUUUCCUCAUUUUUCUGUUCUGGUAGUAUGAUGGAUUUUGAUUAGAUAAGAACCUGCGGUUUCUUUGGUAAGUUGGGAUUAAGAGUUCCAUAUAUAUGCGCCAAGAGAGUAUGUAGGGAAAUCAUGAUAUGACCUUGCUUGAGUUAGUAUUUUCUUGUGCAUUUCAAUACCUACUAUUAAUUAUAUUGUUUUUCCUUCCUCAGGAUCCACAAAUUGUCAAGCACACAUGCUACAACCAUCAACUUCUGGGAUAUUAACUAUCUAACUUGGCAAUGUUCACAAAAUGGUUUCCAUCAUCUAUGUGAUUCUGUUUCCAUUAUAGCUGUUUGUUUCUCCAAUGACUAUGUCUACUGUUACGCACGAUAAGAAAUCUAUUCAGGCUAUGUCACUGCAUCCAAAAGACUUGGUACCCACGAGUUCGUUUUCCUAUUAUGUACAUUGCUGGAAGCCUGGAACCUUUAAAAAAAUUAUAACCUUACAAUUCAGUAUUUCAUAUGCCAUCUGAUGAUACAAGGUCUUCACAGGAAAAACAAUGGCACUUGCCCUUUUAGAAAACAAACAGAGGAUUUUUGGGCGAACCCUCACUUUUAAUGCAAGUUCACUGGACGACUACCAUAUCUUUAUGUACCAUUUGAUUGCUUGGAUGAAGUUUUUUUCUGGGGGAUUGCUUGGAUGAAGUUGAACGGGAGAUCCCCAUCAGCUUUUAGAAGGCAUGAUUUUGUUUGGUUGGUUUGGUGGACAAUUCAGGUAUAUAUCCCAUUAAAACUAAUAUAGCUCCAACCAGGGCAGAACCAAGUGGUUAAAAACUGAGUGAGCCGAGACAUUUCUUGACGCGACUGGUUAAGCUUAAAUUUCCAUGUGAUAUUCAUUUCUUAAGUAA
This is a long non-coding RNA of Triticum aestivum (bread wheat), 2709 nucleotides long. RefSeq lists it as uncharacterized. NCBI's taxonomy places the organism in Eukaryota, Viridiplantae, Streptophyta, Magnoliopsida, Poales, Poaceae. The record is from RefSeq and is a predicted model, not a curated record. The transcript has 2 exons.